RNAcentral lists this ribosomal RNA (484 nucleotides) under uncultured bacterium. RNAcentral describes it as "partial 16S ribosomal RNA". It matches the Rfam family "Bacterial small subunit ribosomal RNA", at positions 30 to 507 of the family's 1533-position model. The record is from RNAcentral.
AUUGAACGCUGGCGGCAGGCCUAACACAUGCAGGUCGAGCGGAUGAAGGGAGCUUGCUCCUGGAUUCAGCGGCGGACGGGUGAGUAAUGCCUAGGAAUCUGCCUGGUAGUGGGGGAUAACGUCCGGAAACGGGCGCUAAUACCGCAUACGUCCUGAGGGAGAAAGUGGGGGAUCUUCGGACCUCACGCUAUCAGAUGAGCCUAGGUCGGAUUAGCUAGUUGGUGGGGUAAAGGCCUACCAAGGCGACGAUCCGUAACUGGUCUGAGAGGAUGAUCAGUCACACUGGAACUGAGACACGGUCCAGACUCCUACGGGAGGCAGCAGUGGGGAAUAUUGGACAAUGGGCGAAAGCCUGAUCCAGCCAUGCCGCGUGUGUGAAGAAGGUCUUCGGAUUGUAAAGCACUUUAAGUUGGGAGGAAGAGCAGUAAGUUAAUACCUUGCUGUUUUGACGUUACCAACAGAAUAAGCACCGGCUAACUUCGUG